This 258-nucleotide ribosomal RNA is filed under the name uncultured bacterium. Its description in RNAcentral is "partial 16S ribosomal RNA". It matches the Rfam family "Bacterial small subunit ribosomal RNA", at positions 524 to 778 of the family's 1533-position model. The record is from RNAcentral.
UACGUAGGGUGCGAGCGUUGUCCGGAAUUAUUGGGCGUAAAGGGCUCGUAGGCGGUUUGUCGCGUCGGGAGUGAAAUCCACUGGCUUAACUGGUGGCUUGCUUUCGAUACGGGCAGACUGGAGGUAUGCAGGGGAGAACGGAAUUCCUGGUGUAGCGGUGAAAAUGCGCAGAUAUCAGGAGGAACACCGGUGGCGAAGGCGGUUCUCUGGGCAUGUCCUGACGCUGAGGAGCGAAAAGCCAGGGGGAGCAAAACGGGG